UAGAGUAUUAUAAGAAGUUCUUUUCAAAGCUCUGUCAUGAUUUUCACAAACUCUGGGAAACUUCAAAGAUGGUGUCAACACUUCAGUUCCUUGGACUUCUGCUUUUCUGGAUUUCAGCCUCCAGAUGUGACAUAUUGAUGACUCAGACUCCACCCACUCUAUCUGUGUCUCCAGGAGAUAAAGUCUCUAUUACCUGCAGGGCCAGCCAGGGUAUUAGCAAUUACCUACAUUGGUAUCAACAAAAAUCACACGAGUCUCCAAGGCUUUUAAUCAAGUAUGCUUCCCAGUCCAUUUCUGGGAUCCCCUCCAGAUUUAGUGGAAGUGGAUCAGGGACAGAUUUCACUCUCAGUAUCAACAGUGUGGAGCCUGAAGAUGUUGGAACAUAUUACUGUCAACAAGGUAACAGCUGGCCUCCCACAGUGGUGCAGACCAUAGCAAAAACCUCCAAGAAAGCAGAAGUGUGA
Molecule: non-coding RNA, 464 nt
Organism: Apodemus sylvaticus (European woodmouse)
Lineage: Eukaryota; Metazoa; Chordata; Mammalia; Rodentia; Muridae
Source: the annotation of a RefSeq genome assembly